CAAUAGCGUAUAUUUAAGUUGUUGCAGCUAAAAAGCUCGUAGUUGGAUUUCGGGUGGGACGCAGCGGUCUCGCAUUGCGUUUGUACUGCUGCAGCCCUCCUUCUUGCCGGGGGCGGCCUCUCGGACUUCACUGUCUGGGGGUCAGAAUCGGCGAUGUUACUUUGAGUAAAUUAGAGUGUUCAAAGCAAGCUUACGCUCUGAAUAUAAUAGCAUGGGAUAACACGACAGGACUCUGGCCUAUCGUGUUGGUCUAUAGGACCAGAGUAAUGAUUAAGAGGGACAGUCGGGGGCAUUCGUAUUCCGUUGUCAGAGGUGAAAUUCUUGGAUUUACGGAAGACGAACAUCUGCGAAAGCAUUUGCCAAGGAUGUUUUCAUUGA
This 378-nucleotide ribosomal RNA is filed under the name uncultured eukaryote. Its description in RNAcentral is "partial 18S ribosomal RNA". It matches the Rfam family "Eukaryotic small subunit ribosomal RNA", at positions 592 to 976 of the family's 1831-position model. The record is from RNAcentral.